RNAcentral lists this ribosomal RNA (468 nucleotides) under uncultured bacterium. RNAcentral describes it as "partial 16S ribosomal RNA". It matches the Rfam family "Bacterial small subunit ribosomal RNA", at positions 28 to 507 of the family's 1533-position model. The record is from RNAcentral.
GACGAACGCUGGCGGCGUGCUUAACACAUGCAAGUCGAACGGAAAGGCCCUGCUUUUGUGGGGUGCUCGAGUGGCGAACGGGUGAGUAACACGUGAGUAACCUGCCCUUGACUUUGGGAUAACUUCAGGAAACUGGGGCUAAUACCGGAUAGGAGCUCCUGCUGCAUGGUGGGGGUUGGAAAGUUUCGGCGGUUGGGGAUGGACUCGCGGCUUAUCAGCUUGUUGGUGGGGUAGUGGCUUACCAAGGCUUUGACGGGUAGCCGGCCUGAGAGGGUGACCGGCCACAUUGGGCCUGAGAUACGGCCCAGACUCCUACGGGCGGCAGCAGUGGGGAAUAUUGCACACUGGGCGGAAGCCUGAUGCAGCAACGCCGCGUGCGGGAUGACGGCCUUCGGGUUGUAAACCGCUUUCGCCUGUGACGAAGCGUGAGUGCCGGUCAUGGGUAAAGAAGCACCGGCUACCUCCGUG